Molecule: unclassified non-coding RNA, 855 nt
Filed under: Zea mays
Lineage: Eukaryota; Viridiplantae; Streptophyta; Magnoliopsida; Poales; Poaceae
Description: misc RNA Zm00001eb077970
Source: RNAcentral
UGCAUUUUAGUGGGCAUUCACCAACAAACAAACCUAAACCCCAAGGACAAUCAACUAUCGCGUCGCAGACUCGCAGCAUGCAUCAACAGCCGCCAAAAAAAAACCCGGAUCAUAUCGUAUCGAAUGAAACCACAUCUCUGGAGAGUCAGUUGCGUCGCAAACCCGACUCCACAAAGCCGCAGAAGCAGCUGACUACUUUGCGCCAAUCAAUCCGCGCACGACGGCGCCCAAAGUCUCCAGCCGCCGUCGUCGUCGUCGCGCUCGCCGGCCGCCACGUACCAGUACCACCACCACCGCCGGAGACCCAGCGCGGCCGGCGGCUGCCUACUAUGUACUACUAGUCUACUAAUAUGUACCACGUGCCAAUUAGCGGCCGCAGCAUGCAGGAGCGCAGACAAACGCUGCCGGGUGCCCGGGUCGCGCGGGUCUGGAUGGCGCCCCGCUGGCUCACGCUCACGCGGAAAGGUGAGCAAAAGUGGCGUUGCGCUGCGGCGAAAGCUGUGGGGACUCAGGGCAGGGCAGGGCCGGGAUGCCUGCCGUGGGUGGCCGUGAGUGGGGGCGUGGCGUCGAUCGCCCCGCUGCCUUUUCGGAUCGGGGCUCCUCGGUGCUGGGCUGGGCGCGCGUGCCCGUGAGGUUGCUUUCGUCCGCGCUGGUGACCAAACCCAUGCUACACGCCCCCGUCGCCGUCGCCGUCGCCGACGAGCUAGCUAGGCCUGUGAUGUAUCCGACCUGUGCUCACAAGCACGCAUGCCGUCGCCGUGUUUGAUCGCCGACUGCGGAGGGAAAAAGAAAAAACCCGGUUGCCUCGUUAGUCUGCCUGCCCGUGCUCUCUCUCUCUCUCUCUCUCUCUCUCUC